ACGAACGCUGGCGGCGUGCCUAAUACAUGCCAGUCGAACGCUUCUUUCCUCCCGAGUGCUUGCACUCAAUUGGAAAGAGGAGUGGCGGACGGGUGAGUAACACGUGGGUAACCUACCCAUCAGAGGGGGAUAACACUUGGAAACAGGUGCUAAUACCGCAUAACAGUUUAUGCCGCAUGGCAUAAGAGUGAAAGGCGCUUUCGGGUGUCGUUGAUGGAUGGACCCGCGGUGCAUUAGCUAGUUGGUGAGGUAACGGCUCACCAAGGCCACGAUGCAUAGCCGACCUGAGAGGGUGAUCGGCCACACUGGGACUGAGACACGGCCCAGACUCCUACGGGAGGCAGCAGUAGGGAAUCUUCGGCAAUGGACGAAAGUCUGACCGAGCAACGCCGCGUGAGUGAAGAAGGUUUUCGGAUCGUAAAACUCUGUUGUUAGAGAAGAACAAGGACGUUAGUAACUGAACGUCCCCUGACGGCAUCUAACCAGAAAGCCACGGCUAACUACGUG
RNAcentral lists this ribosomal RNA (507 nucleotides) under uncultured bacterium. RNAcentral's name for it is "partial 16S ribosomal RNA". It matches the Rfam family "Bacterial small subunit ribosomal RNA", at positions 29 to 507 of the family's 1533-position model. The record is from RNAcentral.